RNAcentral lists this long non-coding RNA (2471 nucleotides) under Homo sapiens (human). RNAcentral describes it as "HSALNT0190878". The record is from RNAcentral. Lineage: Eukaryota; Metazoa; Chordata; Mammalia; Primates; Hominidae.
CCUCCCUUCACUGCCUGAGACUCUUUUCAGGAAGGACAUGAGCCAAUGCAGUCCAUGAGAGCUGGCUACGGAAGGGGACAUCCUUGCUCCUUCUUACCCCUGCUUAUCCUCAGCUGUAAUCUGGUGACUAAAUGGCUUCUCCUUCCAUCAGCAAGGGGACAGUGAAACCAGGCACUGUGUUGGUCACUCUGGAUAAAACCCUUAACUGAUGACUCCAUUGUUACUAUUUUAGACCUCAAGGAUCCAAUGAUCUGGGAACACAGUUCAUCUGAGGAUAGGCAUUACAAGGUAAACACAGUGUUGAUAAAAGUUCUGUGUCCCUGAUGGUGUCAAGAAGAAAUGUGCCAUCAUUUUCAGGUAAAAACAACAACAAAUAAACAAACAAAACUAAAACAACCAGGAAAUCUGCAUCUGCUUCCUGAAAUAUGUCCACAAAAAUCAAAUAGGUAUAGAUAUACUUUUGCCUUAAACAGAUAAAUGAAAUUUUUGAGUAUCAAAAAAUUAUUUUCAACAUCCACAAAAUACUGAAACAGUACUCUUUAAAACAGUCAAGGUAAUGACAAACAAGGAAAGACAGAGAAAAUGUCACAGACCAGAGAAGACACGGCAUGAUGACUGAAUGUAAGGGAGUGUCCUGAAUUGGAUCCUAGAACAGAUAAAGAUUAUUAGUAAAAAGCAGUUGAAAUUUGCACAAGGACUGGAGUUUAGUUAAUAGUAAUGUAUAAAUGUUAACCUCAUAAUUUUGAUGACUGUAAUGUGGUUAUGUACAAUGUUAGCACUGAGGAAACUAGGUUAGGGGUAUUCAAGAACUCUCUGUACUAUCUUUGCAACUUUUCCAGAAAUCUAAAGUGAUUCCAAAAUAAAAAGUGUAUUUAGAAAAGUAUUUUCAGAUCUUUGAGAGGCAGGAGAGCGGGAACAACAUGCACCUUAAUGUCAGAAGGUUGAGUUUGUGUUUCCCUUUCACCACCAUCCAACAAGAUGACUUAAUGCAAGUUGGUUGAGCCUCAGGAUUCACAUUCAUAAAAGGGGGGGAUACAAUUUCUACCUUAUACAGUGUUAUUGAAAAGAACAAAUAAAAAAUUCAUGAACCCAUACAAAAAGUAACCAUAGGCACAACUAUUUUUCCAAACCCUGAUUUACAGCUUCAAUCUAACCUUAAAACUAUUUACUCAAUUGACACAUACAUUUUUCUUAUUUUACUUUUCGAAAAAGAUCAAUAAAUGAUCUGUGAUGCCUUCAAUAGAGAAAAAUUAAGAGUUGGAUAUCAGUCUCAGAGGGUUUACAUUUUCAAGAUGUUUUUCUUUCAAAAGUAACAUUGAGCUUGUUGAACUUGACAAAUUAGUGUUUUUUCGGAAAAUCUCCUGCACUGAUCUGGGGUGUCCCUGGGUGUGUAUGAAGACUUGGGCAAGAAAGAGCUCAAGAAAAAUUCAUGGAUUUGGUGUAUUACUUUAGGGUUGCGUGAUUCUGACUAACUUUAAGCCAAAACUAGGUAGAGGCAAAACGUUGCUGUGGAAGUUGUGAGAAAGUCCUUGGCAGAAAGAGCAGGCAGUGAGAGGAACAGGGGUGAAAUUAUCCUUUCAUUUUCUGGAAGGUACUGCCAGUGAAGUGGUUAAGAGUAUAGGCUUUUGAUCCAGACCUUCUGGAUUUGAAGCCAAACUCUGACUCUUCCUUUUUAGAGCUUGGGCAGGUGACUUAAGCUCUGUGUCUUGUUUAAAGAUAAUUAAUAAGGACAUGAUCCUAUCUGUAUUUUGGAAAACUCCUCUGGAAGCAGUGUGGAUGAUCGAUUAGAGCAACAUCAGACCCAACAAGGGCCGUGGUAGAGAAGCCAGCACAAUAGUAGAGAGGUGAUGAGGGCCUAAGCUGCACAGGGAGCCCUGAGCAUGGGGAGAAGGAGUCUAGAAAACCAUGAAGGAGAUGGGUAUCAGCAGAAAGUGGGGGAAUCAGGGAAAGAAAGGACUCUAGAUGGAUUCUUAGGCUCCUGGAGACUGGGAUUUUGUCCAUUAACCAAGAUAGAGAAUCAUGGAAGAGUAGGGAAAAGUCAUGCUUGUGAUUUGGGACAUACUACAUGUUUGUGUUUGGGGACAUUAAGAAGGAAAUGCCUAUCUGGGACAGGAACUUGUGUUUUAUCUCAUAUACCACUCUGAGUAAAUGGGAGCUUAAAGAGAGUUAAGUACAAGAUAGGGGUUAAGAAUGCUGUUUCUUUGACUUACUAGCUGUGUGUUUAAAAGGGUCAAUUGUUUAACUUUUCUGCUGCUUUUUCUUUUGUUUUGUUUUGUUUGUUUGUUUGUUUUAAGACAGAGUUUUGCUCUUGUUGCCCAGGCUGGAGUGUAAUGGCACGAUCUCAGCUCACUGCAACCUCCACCUCCCAAGUUCAAGCAAUUCUCCUGCCUCAGCCUCCAUAGGCAUCCACCACCACGCCCGGCCAAUUUUGUAUUUCUAGUAGAGGCGGGGUUUCUCCAUGUUGUUCAAGC